GGUUUGAUGGUGUAGAGGUAGAUUAGGCUGCUAUCGUCUGGCCUCAGUUUCAGGUUCGAUUCCUGAACAGAUCC
Molecule: non-coding RNA, 74 nt
Organism: Gymnopus androsaceus JB14
Lineage: Eukaryota; Fungi; Basidiomycota; Agaricomycetes; Agaricales; Omphalotaceae
Source: the annotation of a GenBank genome assembly